RNAcentral lists this ribosomal RNA (715 nucleotides) under uncultured Clavaria. Its description in RNAcentral is "eukaryotic LSU rRNA". The stretch from base 282 to 435 matches the Rfam family "5.8S ribosomal RNA". The record is from RNAcentral. Lineage: Eukaryota; Fungi; Basidiomycota; Agaricomycetes; Agaricales; Clavariaceae.
CUUGGUCAUUUAGAGGAAGUAAAAGUCGUAACAAGGUUUCCGUAGGUGAACCUGCGGAAGGAUCAUUAUCGAUUUUUAAAGAUGUGCUGGCACUCCUUCACCGGUUUGCAUGUGCACUCUGCAAAAUCUCCUUCUCUUACCCCACUGUGCACACCCAAGUAGACAAACAGAGUUACAGAGCAAUCUGUGUAAUUCCUGAUUUGCUUAUGUUUUUAUCAAACACCAAUAACAAUCUCAGAAUGAUCUAUAUAGUAAGCUUUUAACAAGCUGAAAUUUAAUACGACUUUCAACAAUGGAUCUCUUGGUUCUCGCAUCGAUGAAGAACGCAGCGAAUUGCGAUAUGUAAUGUGAAUUGCAGAAUUCAGUGAAUCAUCGAAUCUUUGAACGCACCUUGCACCCUCUGGCAUUCCGGAGGGUAUGCCUGUUUGAGUGUCAUUAAUCUCUCAACACAAGAAACUUUGUCUCCUUGUGCUUGGAUAUUGAAGGUUUUGCUGGCGCAAACAACUGUCAGCUCCUUUUAAAUGUAUUAGCAGAGCAGUAUAGGACUGGCCUCGGUUUGAUAAGAAACUUUAUCUAUGCUGUCGCUGGGUUUUCCUCUUUGUGCUCAGCUUCAAAUUGUCUUCGGACUGUCUCUUGAGGCAACAAAAUCUCUAUUGAUCGACCUCAAGUCAGGUAGGACUACCCGCUGAACUUAAGCAUAUCAAUAAGCGGAGGA